Long non-coding RNA from Brassica napus (rape), 835 nucleotides. RefSeq lists it as uncharacterized. The record is from RefSeq and is a predicted model, not a curated record. Lineage: Eukaryota; Viridiplantae; Streptophyta; Magnoliopsida; Brassicales; Brassicaceae. The transcript is spliced from 3 exons.
UUUAUAAGAGAUUUAGUUAGAUAUUGUACCAAAAAUAACUUGAUUUCUAACUUCUAAUUCUCAACUGAUAUUUUAUUUCACAGUUUCAAUUGCCAAUUUGGAAUAAUAUAUUUUAUAUAUAUCUUAGAAAAUGUUGGAUAUAUUUUAAAUAAUACAAGUCUAUACCUGCUUUUCUUAUCUGGAACUUCAGAAACUCUAGCUAUUUAUAUAUAUAUACACCACCAACCAUUGACAAGUAUGUAGUUCAUAAGACUUUUUAAUAUUCGUCUCGUUUAAAUUAAAACCACAACACUCUCUCCUCUACAUAAUCCUCAGCUCCCAACUUAUCAUUGAGUUAGAAUGAAUCAACCUUCAGCCGUAGUGGAAAAACCUUCACAGGGGCCGUACACGAGUCCACCGCCGAUUGGUUAUCCGACCAGAGAUGCUGUGGUUGGUGAUCCUCGGGUAUCGUCAGUGGAGACGAAGUCCAAGGGUGAUGAUGGGAUUUUUGCAAGAUGUUGGGUUCUCAUAUGCUGUUGUGUUGUCCUGGACGAUUGGUGUUGUUGUAGCUGAGACUUGGGAGUUAAAGAUUUCAUGCAGAUUAUUGCUAUAAUAAAAUAUAUAUUUGAUGAUUGUUGUGUUACUUUUUAAUUACUCUUUAUAUGUGGAAUAUGUUCUGCCGAUGGUUAUUUUAUUUAUGUUUUGCAAUAUAAAAUUAAAGGUCAUGAUAUAUAUUAAAGUGAUCGAAUUAAUAUAUAUAAUUAUAUAAAUCGAUUUUGGAUACAUUCAGAUACUUGAAAUAUUUUGGUUCGGAUCAGAUUAGGUUUCAGUUAUCUAAAUACUAAAAUUUUGAAUA